This 374-nucleotide ribosomal RNA is filed under the name uncultured Methanosaeta sp. RNAcentral's name for it is "bacterial SSU rRNA". It matches the Rfam family "Archaeal small subunit ribosomal RNA", at positions 966 to 1338 of the family's 1478-position model. The record is from RNAcentral. Lineage: Archaea; Methanobacteriati; Methanobacteriota; Methanomicrobia; Methanotrichales; Methanotrichaceae.
UUUUGCCGGAUUAGCUGAGAGGUGGUGCAUGGCCGUCGUCAGUUCGUACUGUGAAGCAUCCUGUUAAGUCAGGGCAACGAGCGAGACCCAGCCCACAGUUGCCAGCGUACUCUCUGGAGUGACGGGUAUACUGUGGGGGACCGCCGCUGCUAAAGCGGAGGAAGGAAUGGGCAACGGUAGGUCAGUAUGCCCCGAAUAUCCCGGGCUACACGCGAGCUACAAUGGUUGGUACAAUGGGUAUCUACCCCGAAAGGGGACGGGAAUCUCCUAAAACCAAUCUUAGUUCGGAUUGAGGGCUGCAACUCGCCCUCAUGAAGCUGGAAUCCGUAGUAAUCGCGUUUCAACAGAACGCGGUGAAUACGUCCCUGCUCCUU